Molecule: RNA transcript, 4581 nt
Organism: Vitis vinifera (wine grape)
Lineage: Eukaryota; Viridiplantae; Streptophyta; Magnoliopsida; Vitales; Vitaceae
Gene name: leucine-rich repeat receptor-like serine/threonine-protein kinase RGI4
Exons: 3
Source: RefSeq, a predicted model, not a curated record
UAAUAUGAUGAAACUGACAGGAUGUAUACGAUAAUGAGCUAGAUAUCGGUUUGUAGAUCAAUAGGAGAGAAAAAUGAAGGAUUACUGAUAACAAGCCACAGAAAGGGUUAAAAGGUUUCAUAUAAAAAACAGAGACAAAGUCACUAACACACCCGUCUCUCCUUUUCACUUUAAAAAGAACAGCUAUCUUCCUUCCCACCACCUCACCUCCACCAUAAACAAAUGCGAAAACACCCAUCUAAAAUUCCAUUUCUCUGUGCAAACAUCAUGGCCUAGCUGUUCUUGGAUCCGGAGAUUCUGGGUCUGUCGAAUUAUUUAUACAUGUAUUUAAAAACCAUAGCCCACAUUAAGACAUGAUUUGGUUUCUCUCAUUGUCCCUCCCUAGGCUCAAACCACCCUCCUUUCUGUUCCUCUCAUUGGAGUUCGUAGCAUAGCUGUAAUGCCUGUUAAUCCAUGGACCCUCUUCUCCUUCCUAAUCUUCUCUUUUUCAUUUUUAAUUCUCUUCCCCCUCAUGGCUUCCGCCAUCAACCAACAAGGCCAAGCUCUACUUUGGUGGAAGGGGAGCUUGAAGGAAGCGCCAGAGGCCUUAAGCAACUGGGACCAGAGCAAUGAGACUCCAUGUGGGUGGUUUGGGAUCUCUUGCAACUCAGACAAUCUAGUGGUGGAACUCAAUUUGAGGUAUGUCGAUUUGUUUGGGCCGCUUCCCUCUAAUUUCAGUUCAUUGACGUCCUUGAACAAGCUAGUCUUAACUGGAACCAACCUCACUGGUUCCAUCCCAAAAGAGAUCGGUGUUCUUCAAGAUUUGAAUUAUCUAGACUUGAGCGACAAUGCCUUAACUGGUGAAAUCCCAAGUGAGGUUUGCAGCUUGCUCAAGCUCGAACAGCUCUACCUCAAUUCAAACUGGCUUGAGGGAUCUAUCCCAGUCCAACUCGGGAACCUCACUAGCUUGACAUGGCUAAUUCUAUACGACAACCAACUGAGCGGUGCAAUUCCAAGUAGCAUAGGGAACUUGAAGAAGCUUGAAGUGAUUCGAGCAGGCGGCAACAAGAACUUGGAAGGCCCUCUGCCUCAAGAAAUCGGCAACUGCACCAAUUUGGCCAUGAUAGGCCUUGCUGAAACAAGCAUGUCAGGGUUCCUCCCUCCAAGUCUUGGUCGCCUCAAGAAGCUUCAGACACUUGCAAUCUACACCGCCCUCCUGUCAGGCCCAAUCCCCCCUGAGCUGGGUGACUGCACCGAGCUGCAAAACAUCUACCUAUACGAGAACGCGCUCACUGGAUCCAUCCCAGCCCGCCUAGGAAGCCUCCGGAACCUCCAGAACCUAUUGCUAUGGCAAAACAACCUGGUGGGCACCAUUCCACCGGAGUUGGGAAACUGCAAGCAAUUAGUAGUGAUUGAUAUAUCCAUGAAUUCCAUAUCCGGUAGAGUGCCUCAGACGUUUGGGAAUCUGAGCUUUUUGCAGGAACUUCAACUGAGCGUGAACCAAAUCUCAGGUCAGAUUCCAGCGCAAAUUGGGAACUGUCUCGGCCUCACCCAUAUCGAGCUCGACAACAACAAGAUCACUGGUACAAUACCUUCCUCUAUCGGUGGCCUAGUGAAUCUAACACUACUCUACUUGUGGCAAAAUAUGCUGGAAGGGAACAUACCUGAAUCGAUUUCGAAUUGCCGUAGUUUGGAAGCUGUUGAUUUUUCAGAGAACAGCUUGACUGGUCCGAUUCCGAAGGGGAUUUUCCAGCUCAAGAAGCUUAACAAGCUAUUGCUUUUAUCCAACAAUCUGGCCGGUGAGAUACCUCCGGAGAUUGGUGAGUGUUCGUCGUUGAUACGGCUCCGAGCGAGCGAUAACAAGCUGGCUGGAUCGAUCCCGCCACAGAUUGGGAAUUUAAAGAAUUUGAAUUUCUUGGAUCUGGCAUUGAAUCGCCUCACUGGUGUCAUACCGCAGGAGAUCUCUGGUUGCCAGAAUCUGACGUUCCUGGACUUGCAUUCCAACUCGAUUGCCGGAAACCUACCGGAGAAUUUGAACCAACUGGUUUCCCUCCAGUUCGUUGAUGUAUCUGAUAAUCUGAUAGAAGGGACUCUGAGUCCGAGUCUUGGAUCUCUGAGUUCGCUCACCAAGCUCAUUCUCCGUAAGAAUCGGUUGUCCGGUCUGAUUCCAAGUGAACUCAAUUCGUGCGCGAAGCUGGUGUUGCUGGACCUGAGUAGCAACGAUCUCACAGGUAAAAUUCCAUCCAGUGUGGGCGAGAUUCCAGCUCUGGAGAUCGCUUUGAAUCUGAGCUGGAACAAACUUUCCGGCAAAAUUCCGUCGGAGUUCACGGACUUGGAUAAGCUCGGAAUAUUGGAUCUCUCACACAAUCAGCUCUCCGGCGACCUCCAACCCCUCUUCGACCUCCAAAACCUCGUGGUCCUCAACAUCUCCUACAACAACUUCUCGGGGCGCGUGCCGGACACCCCUUUCUUCUCCAAGCUCCCACUGAGCGUCCUCGCCGGCAACCCCGCCCUCUGCCUCUCCGGCGACCAGUGCGCCGCCGACAAACGCGGUGGCGCUGCCCGCCACGCCGCGGCGGCCAGGGUGGCCAUGGUGGUGCUACUAUGCGCCGCCUGCGCGCUGCUCCUCGCGGCGCUCUACAUCAUUCUCGGGAACAAGAUGAAUCCACGUGGCCCCGGAGGGCCCCACCAGUGCGAUGGCGACAGCGAUGUGGAGAUGGCCCCCCCAUGGGAGUUGACCCUGUACCAAAAACUGGACCUCUCUAUCGCUGACGUGGUACGCUGCCUGACAGUUGCCAACGUCGUCGGCCGUGGCCGCUCCGGCGUCGUGUACAGAGCCAACACCCCCUCCGGCCUCACCAUCGCCGUGAAAAGAUUUCGCUCCAGCGAAAAAUUCUCCGCAGCAGCAUUCUCAUCCGAAAUCGCCACGCUGGCACGCAUCCGCCACCGAAAUAUAGUCCGACUGUUGGGGUGGGCGGCCAACCGAAAGACGAAACUCCUCUUCUACGAUUACUUACCAAGUGGUACAUUAGGCACAUUACUCCAUGAAUGCAACUCAGCCAUAGUUGAGUGGGAGAGUCGGUUCAAUAUAGCCUUGGGCGUGGCGGAGGGCUUAGCCUAUCUGCACCAUGAUUGUGUGCCACCCAUCAUCCACCGAGACGUCAAGGCUCACAACAUUUUGUUAGGGGACCGAUACGAGGCCUGCUUGGCGGACUUUGGGCUAGCCAGGUUGGUGGAGGACGACGAUGGCAAUGGGUCCUUCUCCGCCAACCCUCAAUUCGCCGGAUCCUACGGCUACAUUGCACCCGAGUACGCUUGCAUGUUGAAGAUAACCGAAAAGAGCGAUGUGUACAGCUUCGGGGUGGUUUUGCUGGAAAUCAUAACCGGGAAGAAGCCGGUGGACCCUUCAUUCCCUGAUGGGCAACAUGUAAUUCAGUGGGUCCGAGAGCAGCUAAAGAGCAAGAGGGACCCGGUUCAGAUACUGGACCCGAAGCUCCAGGGCCACCCAGAUACACAAAUACAAGAAAUGCUCCAAGCACUGGGGAUAUCCCUCUUAUGCACAAGCAACCGUGCGGAAGAUCGUCCUACAAUGAAAGAUGUUGCGGUUUUGUUAAGGGAAAUACGCCACGAGCCCAGCACAGGAACUGAGCCUCACAAGCCUAAUAGCAAUGGAUCCAAAAAGCCUGAAGCUCCUGCCUACUCCUCCCAACUCUUGCUCCUCCAAGGCUCUUCCCAGUACUCACUGGCAUAUUCAUCUUCCUCAGCUGGUUAUAAUGUCAAUAAUGAUGCUAGUGUGUGAUGACUGAUUGAAAAGGGUUCCGCUAGUGUUGUUUAUUGGGAAUUGGGGAGUAGGGAGACAUGGGUAUUGUAAAGAGUUAGCUAACAAGGUGAAACCGUGAUUCCGUGGAAGGCAAUUUCAUAGAGAGACAGAGACACUAGUGUUUUGCUUUCUUGUGAAGUCAAUUCCAUCAUUUCACUGAAAAGGACCACAAGGAUGUCCUGAAAGAUGUGUUUGUUGUGGUGUUUGCAAGAUUUAAAAGGCCUUUUUCUUGGCCUUUGGAGGAUGGGCUGGCUUCUCCUCUGUCUCUCUCCUUGGGGAUGUGUGGUUGUGGGGAAUUGUGGGCAAUGAUUGGUUUUCUCUUCCUCUUUCAUAAUUAAGGAUAAGGAGAAGGAGAAGUCUCCUUCGUUUCAUGCAAGUCUAUAGGUCCCCACCACGUGAACCAGAGACAUACAAAACACUAGAGAAGGUAUGGAAGCUUGCUGAGAUACAUUGGAUUUAUGAAAAAUUAAGCUGCUACAUCCAAAAGCAAACCAAAUGUCUUCCUUUCACCAACAACCAAUCGACUCCUGCAAAACCCAUUCAACCCAGUUCCAAAGAUUUGUGUCAAUUCUAUAUACACACUUAGUUCAUUUUUCACAUCUCAAUUCUUUAGUUUUACUGUUUCAAUCUUACCCUAAGAAAGGGACAUUGGUAGGUAAUAGAAGAAUCAUGAGAAGCAACAUAUCUCUUGUGUAACUCAAAAAGAAAAGGUGAUCCAACUUAAUCCUUACACAAUAAUCUACCAAGCCAUGCACUCAUUGCAUUAUUAGGGUUUUUUUCUU